UUAAAAACAAGAUAACUGAGACAAGUGUAAUCUUGUUUUAUGUUUUGAUGAGUUUGUUAAGUUUAGUAUGGAGUAUAGCUAGCCAGCAGCUGCUUGUGUGAUAGUUGGGAAUUUUGUUUAAUUUUUAACUUUUACUUUCUUUAGGUCACAAGCCUCAGCCUUUUACCCUAUCAUUUUGACUGGUCUUGAUGCAAAUAAUUGUAUCUGUUGAGUGGCGCUCCAUUCACUUCAUGGUUUGUUGUUUGACAAUUGAUCAUUUAUUUUGAUUUCAAUGCUAGAUUCAUUCGUCCAUUGGUAUUACUUCUGUUUCUGCUUAUAUACAAGUGAAGAAGAAAGAAGAAAGAAGAAAAAUUGUUUGCCUGGUUAUUAGAUUAACCUCAAAUUUAUAAAAAACAUUAUUCUGGCAUAUACAAAACGUCGGAAGAUAGUAAAAAGACGGGAGUAGUUAUCGCAUUAUGUAUCAAAACUUUUAUUUGUAUUUUAUAUUAUUAUAUAGCCUUAGUAGCCGAAAAGCACUUGUUACCACCUCGAAAA
Hydractinia symbiolongicarpus is the source of this 534-nucleotide long non-coding RNA. RefSeq lists it as uncharacterized. Lineage: Eukaryota; Metazoa; Cnidaria; Hydrozoa; Anthoathecata; Hydractiniidae. The transcript is spliced from 2 exons. The record is from RefSeq and is a predicted model, not a curated record.